Molecule: ribosomal RNA, 253 nt
Filed under: uncultured bacterium
Lineage: Bacteria
Description: partial 16S ribosomal RNA
Rfam family: Bacterial small subunit ribosomal RNA
Source: RNAcentral
UACAGAGGGGGCAAGCGUUGUUCGGAAUUACUGGGCGUAAAGGGCGCGUAGGCGGCCUUCUAAGUCGAACGUGAAAUCCCCGGGCUCAACCCGGGAACUGCGUCCGAUACUGGAAGGCUUGAAUCCGGGAGAGGGAUGUGGAAUUCCAGGUGUAGCGGUGAAAUGCGUAGAUAUCUGGAGGAACACCGGUGGCGAAGGCGACAUCCUGGACCGGUAUUGACGCUGAGACACGAAAGCGUGGGUAGCAAACAGG